GACAACGUGGUGGAGUGGUUAACACGUUCGCCUGCUAUUACAGGUCCUUGAAAGAGGCAUGUAAAGUUCAGCGGAUGCCUUCGGGCGCGCAAGUUCGAAUCUUGUCGUUGUCG
Non-coding RNA from Morchella snyderi, 113 nucleotides. Lineage: Eukaryota; Fungi; Ascomycota; Pezizomycetes; Pezizales; Morchellaceae. The record is from the annotation of a GenBank genome assembly.